GUGCUUGCUUCAGCAGCACAGAUACUGAAACUGGAAUGAUACAGAAGAUUAGCAUGGCCCCUGCACAAGGAUGACAUGCAAAUUCGUCAAGCGUUCCAUUUUUUU
RNAcentral lists this small nuclear RNA (105 nucleotides) under Catagonus wagneri (Chacoan peccary). The record is from RNAcentral. Lineage: Eukaryota; Metazoa; Chordata; Mammalia; Artiodactyla; Tayassuidae.